AAAGUCGUAACAAGGUUUCCGUAGGUGAACCUGCGGAAGGAUCAUUACCGAGUUUAAAGAGAUGUAAAAAGUCUCUACUCCCAUCCUUGUUUAUUGUGAGCUGUAAAGCAGCUUCGGUGGGCCAUUUCUUCUUUAUUUGUUUGGAGAAGAGAUGUCGGCUCUUGAAACCAGCUGGCUUGUGCCUGCCGAAGUAACCAAUUCUGAAUAAUUAUAUAGUCUGAGAAAAUUAUAUAAAAAUAAUUAAAACUUUCAACAACGGAUCUCUUGGUUCUG
RNAcentral lists this unclassified non-coding RNA (273 nucleotides) under Ascomycota sp. Its description in RNAcentral is "partial contains small subunit ribosomal RNA, internal transcribed spacer 1, and 5.8S ribosomal RNA". The stretch from base 1 to 47 matches the Rfam family "Eukaryotic small subunit ribosomal RNA", at positions 1785 to 1831 of the family's 1831-position model. Lineage: Eukaryota; Fungi; Ascomycota. The record is from RNAcentral.